ACGCUGGCGGCGUGCUUAACACAUGCAAGUCGAGUGCGCGUACCGUAACAAUACGGUAUGGCGCACGGCGCACGGGUGCGUAACACGUGGGUAAUCUGCCCUUCGAUGGGGAAUAACUCCGGGAAACCGAAGCUAAUUCCGCAUAACAUUCCUUGAACCUCGGUUUGGGGACUCAAAGCCGUAAGGCGUCGGAGGAGGAACCCGCGCACGAUUAGUUAGUUGGCAGGGUAACGGCCUACCAAGACUUUGAUCGUUAGCUGGUCUGAGAGGAUGGCCAGCCACACUGGAACUGAGACACGGUCCAGACUCCUACGGGAGGCAGCAGUGGGGAAUCUUGCACAAUGGGCGAAAGCCUGAUGCAGCGACGCCGCGUGGGGGAUGAAGCUUUUCGGAGUGUAAACCCCUUUCGACCCGGACGAAUGCCCCGCAAGGGGAUUGACGGUACGGGUAUAAGAAGCCCCGGCUAACUACGUGCCAGCAGCCGCGGUAAGACGUGGGGGGCCAGCGUUGCUCGGAAUUACUGGGUGUAAAGGGUUCGUAGGCGGUGUGGCAAGUCGGGAGUGAAAUCUCUGGGCUUAACUCAGAGACUGCUUCCGAAACUGCUGUGCU
Molecule: ribosomal RNA, 609 nt
Filed under: uncultured bacterium
Lineage: Bacteria
Description: bacterial SSU rRNA
Rfam family: Bacterial small subunit ribosomal RNA
Source: RNAcentral